UAACUGCCAUUAUAAGUUGGCUAAUUAUACAACGUACUGACUUGUCGCAAAUGCAAGUGAAUUCCAGACGAAUUUUGACAGUAUGUAUAUAUUUGUAUCAGUCUGUAUCUUUAUUUGUCUUUAUCUUUAAAUUGAUUUUGUCUUAAUUUUCUUUUCCCGUAAUUAUCUCACUUAAACGCGUUUGUUAUCGUAUGUGAAGCAUAUUUUAAGGAAACAGGAUAAGAAUAACAAUUCAGAUUAAUAUGUUUUAAAAUAAUAUAACGAUUAUAAGGACCAAAAGAUAUGGAAUGAAAUCACGGAUUAAAAUAAAUAAAAUAAAGCAGUACUUCUAGUAGUAAUUUUGAUUUCUGGUAACGUUUGUUCCAUUUUAGUUUGUUUAUACGUGUGGACCCUGUGGAAGAACGAUUAUAAAAUGUAGGUGGGUGUGUGUUUCAAAAAAAAAAAAAUGUAGGUGGGUGUAGCUUAAGAAGGUUGACUUUUGCUCCCG
RNAcentral lists this long non-coding RNA (487 nucleotides) under Brassica rapa (field mustard). RNAcentral's name for it is "long non-coding RNA (BRAP_LNC000840)". Lineage: Eukaryota; Viridiplantae; Streptophyta; Magnoliopsida; Brassicales; Brassicaceae. The record is from RNAcentral.